Long non-coding RNA from Hibiscus syriacus, 925 nucleotides. RefSeq lists it as uncharacterized. NCBI's taxonomy places the organism in Eukaryota, Viridiplantae, Streptophyta, Magnoliopsida, Malvales, Malvaceae. The record is from RefSeq and is a predicted model, not a curated record. The transcript is spliced from 4 exons.
UCUCUCUGUCUCAGUCCCAUUUGAAAAAAAACCUUCCAAUUUCAUCGAAAAUGGCGGACACGAUCGAUUCUCUGCAUCAAACCCAUCAUUCAAAUCCUUCUUUUCAACCGCUUUUACAUUUCCUCGACCCAUUUCUCUCAUUCUUUCGCAGAAUCAUAUAAUCGAAAGAGGUCCCAGAUACAGUUCAUAUGCUGAAUUGAGAGAAAACAAGCUGAGAAUGAAGUUUGAGCAGCUACAAGAAUGGGAAGAAACCGAAUUCAAACAAACCCCAGUUAAGAAACAAGUGGAAUUCAGUUCGAAUUCGGGGAUUCCCGUUAAACGUUCUUCUGUUUUGAUGCAAUCGGUGCCUGAUUUUUCAUCCACUUUACUGAAGGAGAACCGGAAGCCGUCGGUUGGGAUUGAAUCGACCCCGCCGAGAACGGCAAAGAAUUGGUCAAAAGCGAAGCAACAAGAAACUGAAUUAAACAAACCCCAACCAAGAAACAAGUGAAGUUCAGUUCGAAUUCAGGGGUUUCGAGUAAAGGGCCCUCUGUUUUGGCUCAAUCAGUGCCGGAUUUUUCUGCCACUUUAUGGAAAGAGAACCCGAGGCCGGAGGUCAUGGGGCGGAUUGAAAUGACGCCGCCUUCGAGGGGAAAGAAUUGGUCAAAUUCUGGGGAGAAGAAGAAGGGAAGGUUGGUGAUGACGAGCAAGAGUUAUGCAAAUGUUGAAGAACUGAAGGCCAUUAACGGCGGAAGCAGGGGAGGGAAGAGUAGUGCCAGAUUAUUUUAGAAGAAAAAAAAAAGAGAGGAAGAAAGCUCUGAAUUUGAAGGAUUCUGAUUACUUGGUUCUCGUAUUUUAGAGAGAUUUGAGGUUAAAAAUUCUUUUAUUAGUUUGUUAUUUUCACGAAUUGACUGCAAAUAUAAGAAGAGGGUUCGCUGUUUAAGUA